Molecule: ribosomal RNA, 1140 nt
Filed under: Vibrio parahaemolyticus
Lineage: Bacteria; Pseudomonadati; Pseudomonadota; Gammaproteobacteria; Vibrionales; Vibrionaceae
Description: partial 23S ribosomal RNA
Rfam family: Bacterial large subunit ribosomal RNA
Source: RNAcentral
GUUGUAUGGUUAAGUGACUAAGCGUACACGGUGGAUGCCUUGGCAGUCAGAGGCGAUGAAAGACGUAGUAACUUGCGAUAAGCCCAGAUUAGGUAGUAACAACCAUUUGAGUCUGGGAUUUCUGAAUGGGGAAACCCACUAGCAUAAGCUAGUAUCGUUAUGUGAAUACAUAGCAUAACGAGGCGAACCGGGGGAACUGAAACAUCUAAGUACCCCGAGGAAAAGAAAUCAACCGAGAUUCCGAAAGUAGCGGCGAGCGAAAUUGGACUAGCCCUUAAGCUUUACACGCGUUAGACGAACGGUCUGGAAAGUCCGACGAUACAGGGUGAUAGUCCCGUAGUUGACGACGUGUGUUCAGUGAAAUCGAGUAGGGCGGGACACGUGAUAUCCUGUCUGAAUAUGGGGGGACCAUCCUCCAAGGCUAAAUACUACUGACUGACCGAUAGUGAACCAGUACCGUGAGGGAAAGGCGAAAAGAACCCCUGUGAGGGGAGUGAAAUAGAACCUGAAACCGUGUACGUACAAGCAGUAGGAGCAGGCUUUGUCCUGUGACUGCGUACCUUUUGUAUAAUGGGUCAGCGACUUAUAUUCAGUGGCAAGGUUAACCAUCUAGGGGAGCCGUAGGGAAACCGAGUCUUAACUGGGCGUUCAGUCUCUGGAUAUAGACCCGAAACCAGGUGAUCUAGCCAUGGGCAGGUUGAAGGUUGAGUAACAUCAACUGGAGGACCGAACCGACUAAUGUUGAAAAAUUAGCGGAUGACUUGUGGCUAGGGGUGAAAGGCCAAUCAAACCUGGAGAUAGCUGGUUCUCCCCGAAAGCUAUUUAGGUAGCGCCUCGGACGAAUACUACUGGGGGUAGAGCACUGUUAAGGCUAGGGGGUCAUCCCGACUUACCAACCCUUUGCAAACUCCGAAUACCAGUAAGUACUAUCCGGGAGACACACGGCGGGUGCUAACGUCCGUCGUGGAGAGGGAAACAACCCAGACCGCCAGCUAAGGUCCCAAAUUACUACUAAGUGGGAAACGAUGUGGGAAGGCUCAGACAGCCAGGAUGUUGGCUUAGAAGCAGCCAUCAUUUAAAGAAAGCGUAAUAGCUCACUGGUCGAGUCGGCCUGCGCGGAAGAUGUAACGGGGCUAAGUA